RNAcentral lists this ribosomal RNA (375 nucleotides) under Lithodidae sp. UST SKPaguroidea2. Its description in RNAcentral is "partial small subunit ribosomal RNA". It matches the Rfam family "Microsporidia small subunit ribosomal RNA", at positions 752 to 1200 of the family's 1311-position model. Lineage: Eukaryota; Metazoa; Arthropoda; Malacostraca; Decapoda; Lithodidae. The record is from RNAcentral.
UAGAUACCCUAUUAUAAUUAAAAUAAAAUUUCAUCAGAGUAGUAGUAGGUAUUUCUUAAAAUUCAAAGGAUUUGGCGGUGUUUUAGUCUUUUUAGGGGAACCUGUUUCGUAAACGAUAGGCCGCGAAUAUUUUACCUGGUUGAUUGUUUGUAUACCGUCAUUAUCAGAUAACUUUGAUAGAGUUAGUUAUUAAAAUUAGCAAUGCUAAUAAAAUUAGAUCAAGGUGCAGUUAAUAAUCAGGGGUGAGUGGGUUACAAUGACACUUAUGUAGACGGAGCUGUCUGUGAAACCAGUUAGUAAAGGUGGACUUAAUUGUAAGGUCGUUAAAUUAAAACAACUUGAUAUUAGCUCUAAAUCAUGUACAUAUCGCCCGUC